GUAGGGAAUAUUGCGCAAUGGGGGAAACCCUGACGCAGCGACGCCGCGUGAGUGAUGAAGGCCUUCGGGUCGUAAAGCUCUGUUGCAGGGGAAUAAAAAAAUGAAGGUUCCCUGUGAGGAAGGAUCGGCUAACUUCGUGCCAGCAGCCGCGGUAAGACGAGGGAUCCUAGCGUUGCUCGGAAUCAUUGGGCGUAAAGAGGGCGUAGGUGGCUUGGUAAGUCAGGUGUGAAAGCCCAGGGCUCAAACCUGGAAGUGCAUUUGAUACUGCUGAGCUUGAGUGUCGGAGAGGUUACCGGAAUACCUGGUGUAGUGGUGAAAUACGUAGAUAUCAGGUGGAACACCGGAGGCGAAGGCGGGUAACUGGACGAACACUGACACUGAGGCCCGAAAGCGUGGGGAUCAAACAGGAUUAGAAACCCUGGUAGUCC
RNAcentral lists this ribosomal RNA (428 nucleotides) under uncultured bacterium. RNAcentral describes it as "partial 16S ribosomal RNA". It matches the Rfam family "Bacterial small subunit ribosomal RNA", at positions 354 to 796 of the family's 1533-position model. The record is from RNAcentral.